GUUCCUGUACAUGUUGCCGUUUUCAAAUCGAUUGUAUCUCUUAUACUUUUUGAGAAAAAUGCAAAGGAAAGAAAUUGUUUCAAGGGGAUAUAACUCUCAUAGGGGACGAUGGAAUCCUAUUCAGCCUCACAUGGUAAUACAUCAUGAUGAGAUCUACAUUUUGUCCAAUUAAGGUCAUGAUAUCUUUAAAACCAACGAGAGGGGGCCAUGUUGAAAAAAAUCAAUAAAAGGGAGAUAACUCAUAAAGGGGAUGAUGAAAUCCCUAACAGGGUCAUUUGGUAAUACAUCUUGGUGAGGUCUAGUGAUGGGCCAUAUUUGGUCUUAAUAACUUCAACAGAAACAAGAGGCGGGC
Molecule: long non-coding RNA, 352 nt
Filed under: Mytilus galloprovincialis (Mediterranean mussel)
Lineage: Eukaryota; Metazoa; Mollusca; Bivalvia; Mytilida; Mytilidae
Source: RNAcentral